RNAcentral lists this small RNA (3531 nucleotides) under Arabidopsis thaliana (thale cress). RNAcentral's name for it is "ATSL172470". The record is from RNAcentral. Lineage: Eukaryota; Viridiplantae; Streptophyta; Magnoliopsida; Brassicales; Brassicaceae.
UUAAAACCGAUUUUAUUUUACAGCAAAUUAAAACCAAAAAUUAAUAAAUACUUAUGAGAGAUUUUAGGAAUGAUAAUUUUUGAAGUAAUGCUAGAUUUUUUUUGAAGUAAUGGUGGAGUUAAUAUAGAGAGAUUUUAGGCAAUAUUUUUGUUAGGUAAAUAUUUGAUUUAAAAUGUCAAUUGAAAAAAAUAUACUCAGUGGCAUUGAGUCGUAAAUAAGUUCGAAGUCUAAGAUUUAUUUGUUAAAAUGACUGCAAAAAUGUAUAUGUAGAUUUUACCCUUAUUUGAAAAAGGGAGAUUUGCAAAACUGCCCUUAUUCUAAUAACCUUUUGUAAAAGUGCCCUUUCCUAAAGGCCAUUUUUAAAACUACCCCUUCUAAUAUGCCAAAUGACUGUCUUACCCUCUGAAUGAUUAGGUUUCACGUUGGUUUCACAAACUUCUUCUUUUUGGCACAAAGUUCUUCGUUUUCCUCUCCGAUUUUCCUCUCCGAUUUCACUCAAAAUCGCCGGCGAAUUUCCUUCUGAUUUCACUCAAAAUCGCCGACGAAUUCCCUCUCCGAUUUCACUCAAAAUCGCCAACGAAUUUCCUCUCCGAUUUCACUCAAAAUCGCCGACGAAUUUUCUUUCUGAGAAUCCCCAAAAUCGCCGACGAAUUUCCUCUCCAAUAAACCUGUUCUUCGCUGAAGGAUUCAGAUCAUUUCUCUACGACGCAAACAAUCCCCAGAGAUAUCGAUAGAUCAGACGGUAACCGUUUUUAUAAUCGAUUUUAUAGUCGAUUUUAUAGUCAAUUUUAUAGUAGAUCUGACGCUGUUUCAUAACAUGUUUUGCAGAUGGAUUCAGAGAGUGAAAUCCUUACAUUGCCUGAACAAAUCUACAGAGAAGGUGAGGAAUCUAUUGCACUGGGAACCGUUCAACAAUACUCGGAUUGGAAUUUAGUUAGUAAAGUAGAGGAAGCUUUAGGCGAGUGUUUAUUUCAGAAGAUUAGAAGUUCGUUUUUUGGUCCUCUAGUUGAAUUGGGACCAAAAAUGAAGGCUAAGAAGGGAAUCAGAUUUUCUGGAAAAAUCUUUCACUAUCUCAUGCAGCAGAGAGUGAAAACAAAAGGAUCAACUCUUUGGUUUAGAGUGGAUUCUCAACCUAUCCGUUUCUCCUUGAGAGAGUUCUAUCUCACAACAGGUAAUAAAGUUUUACAAUCGUUUUUAAAGCUUAAUUAACUGUCGUAGAAUGAUUUACAAGGCAUUUGCAUAACUGUUUGCGUAGUUUACAAUCGUUUUUAAAACAUAAGUAAGUGUCAUAGAUAAUUUACAAGGGAUUUUAAAAGCUUUUAAAAGGGGUUUACUUCAUUAACAAUCGUUUAAGAAGCAUAAGUUAGUGGCAGAUAAUGAUUUACAAGGGAUUUUAAAAAGGGUAUGCAUGGUUUACAACCGUUUUUAGGCAUAAGUAACUAGCAUAGAAUAAUUUACAAGGGAUUUUAAAAGCUUAAAGAAGUGUUAAACACGUUUACAAGGGAUUUUAAAAGCAUAAGUAAGUGUCUUAAAACGAUUUACAAGGGAUUUUAUAAGUGUUUGCAUAGUUUACAAUCGAUUUUAAAACAUAAGUAAGUGGCAUAGAAUAUUUACAAGGGAUUUUAAAACCUUUUCUAAGGGUUAAACAUGAUUAGUAAUCGUUUUUUAAGCAUAAGUAAGUUGAAUAGAAUGAUUUACAAGAGAUUUUAAAAGCUUUUAGAAGGGUUAAACAUGAUUUACAAUCGUUUUUAAAGCAUAAGUAAGUGUCAUAUAAUGAUUUACAAGGGAUUUUAAAAGUGUCUACAUGGUUUACAAUCGUUUUUAAAGCAUAAGUAAGUGGCAUUGAAUGAUUUAUAAGGGAUUUUAAAAGCUUUUAAAAGUGUUAAACAUGAUUUACAAUCGUUUUUAAAGUAUUUACUAUAAAACCUGUAAUAAUAGUCUCUACACUGUCUUUUGUUCAUACAGGAAUUCAAUGUGAACCUGUUCAUAGGGAACUUCGACGAAAGGGGAAAGAUCCUGUAAAAGAACCAUACUUUUGGGCUAGUAAAAGAUCCUAUACUCUUGGUGAUCUCGAAGAUCGAUUGUUUUUAAAACCUAAGGAAGGUGAACCUGCUGUUGAAGAUGAAGAAAAGUUGUGUCUUGCUGCAGUAGUGUUGAUUGAAGGAAUUCUUUUGACACCAUAUGGAAAAGAGAAGAUACCUUUGCCAAGAUUGCAGCAUGCUUCUGAUUUUGAGAUGUACACAGCCCAACCGUGGGUAAAGAAGCAUUCAAUGUUCUAUCAAAUUCAAUUCUGAGAAUGGACGAGAAAACUUGGGCAAAAGAGAAAUAUGAUUUGAGAGGAUUUGGACUAGCGCUAACAAUAUGGGUGUUGAGCGCAGUUCCAGCAUUUGGUGCAGCAUAUGGAGUUAAAGAUAAGGAAUUCCAAUCUGAAUAUCCAUUGAUAUUGAAGUGGAAAAGCACUACUACUCCAGAGUUUUUCAAGAUCGUAAACCUUGUAAAUGAUGUUUCUGAGUUAAGCUUUUGUCUAUUUACAGAAUUCUUUAAAUGGUUUUUAGAUUUGAAGUUCUGCUUUCUCAAGAUUUGUAAUGUUAUUGUAUCUUCGCAGAUGGAGGUGAAUACAAUUAUUGGAAAUCCAGAAGAAUUCAAGUCUUUAGUUCCUGAUUUCCACACAGACGACACAAAAUUCCAACAUAUUUUGGGACUAGUUAAUAUGGGCUACAGAUUGAAGAAAACUGAAUGGAAUACAAGAUGCGUUGAUGUUUGUGCUGCCCUUGAAGAAGUAGGUCAAAACAAAAUCAAUAACAAAAUAUCUGAUAGCGAGAAGCUUGACAGGAUUUUGACAAUCCUUGAAGAUCUUAACAAGAGAGUCGAGCUGAUUGAGAAGAUUUUGGACAUUAGAAUGGAGGAAAAGAAUAAUCAGAGAUCUGAGGAAGAUGAAGAAAGAAAACAAGAAGAUGAAGGAGUAGAAAGACAACCAGAGGUAAUUGUAAAUGUUUCUUUAAAAGCUAUUUGAAAGGAAAGGUUUUACAAUGUAUUUUAAAGGUUAAAUACGUAGUAAACCUUUACAAUGUACUCUUUUUUUCGCAGGCUGAAGAAGAAGGAGGACUAGAAAGAAAAGCAGAGGUAAUUGAAAAUCUUUACAAGCUAUUUUAAAGGUCUACUAAUUAUAUUAAUGAUUGACUUAUUGUUUUUAUUUUGUUACAGAAUGACAAUGAAUCAUUUGAAGAUUCAAUCCGAGAGCCAAACACACAGUAUGGGAGCUAUCCGGGUGAUGAUGAAAACACCCAACGUGAUGUUGGUGAUGAAUUAGUUGAAGAAUCAUCAAAAGUACAGUAAUUUAUAUCUCUAAAAGUCUUACAAAAAUGAUUAGUAUCCUUUUUAUAAUUUUACAUUCUGUUAUCUUUUCAAGGAUAAGUCUCCUACUCCACGAUCCUCUACACCAAAUUUCAAUAUUUUGUCUGAAGAAAGUCUGGAUGUUCAAAAGGAUAAGAAGAGAGUUAGCAGAGGAAGAAAUGAGGUUAGCAUUUAAAA